CUUCCGUUUGCGUUUGAUACGAUACACUAACGGACAAAGAAAGAAGAUUUUAUUUGCUUUGCCAAACGAUCUCACGAAAAAAUGACUCUGGUCCACAAGCAAGAAAGCAUUCUAGGACAGAGCGUGUGUCUGGAAGCCCUGUCUGUAAGUUAACAUUUAUACAUGCAUUUAAGAAACCAGACACUCAGCCUGUUGCUUAUCAUGUGACUGUUCUGAUGGGUUUGUCUCUUCCUGCCUUUUUUCAGGUCAGUAGACAUCACUGCCACCACCACCUGCAUAUGAGUCAACACCACACAGGAAACCAGCCGGUCGCCCAGAACUGGAUGGGUGUAUUCUAACGCAAGCUCGGCCUGCCACUUCAUCUUGGGACCCAGUUGAAGCAACUUUUCCUGACAAGCCCGGAGGUUCGACCGGAGGUACUGCCAUCCGACGCAUGCUACGGCGAGUGGCAACCAAUGAUGUUCUAAAACUGUAUAUCCUGCGGGGCAGAAAAGGAAAGAAGGCCUUCCAGGACUUGACAAUCUGCAGGGUUAUAACGGGCAGGUGUUAUUUUAUUGUUCACAUCAGUAUUAUGCUUAGCUUGGCUAAUAAAAGGUUUUAAUUUGACUUGUAACGUUGCUUCAUUUUGACUUCUACUCUAGCGGUCUUCCAGAAAAACUUCCCCGCGCUGACUGCAGCAGACGCGGAGGACUUGAUUGGUGCUGAAGUUUGCCCCACACAGACGGUCAGCUGAGAAGGACUGAGCCUUCAAAACCAUGGAGCUCUAUU
This is a long non-coding RNA of Perca fluviatilis (European perch), 768 nucleotides long. RefSeq lists it as uncharacterized. The transcript has 5 exons. NCBI's taxonomy places the organism in Eukaryota, Metazoa, Chordata, Actinopteri, Perciformes, Percidae. The record is from RefSeq and is a predicted model, not a curated record.